Molecule: ribosomal RNA, 499 nt
Filed under: uncultured microorganism
Description: bacterial SSU rRNA
Rfam family: Archaeal small subunit ribosomal RNA
Source: RNAcentral
UGGUGGGGUAACGGCCCACCAAGCCUAAGAUCCGUACGGGCCAUGGGAGUGGGAGCCCGGAGAUGGACCCUGAGACAAGGGUCCAGGCCCUACGGGGCGCAGCAGGCGCGAAACCUCCGCAAUGCGGGAAACCGCGACGGGGUCAGCCGGAGUGCCGAUGCUUGCAUCGGCUGUCGGGGAGCCUAAAAAGCUCCCCAUAGCAAGGGCCGGGCAAGGCCGGUGGCAGCCGCCGCGGUAAUACCGGCGGCCCGAGUGGCGGCCACUAUUAUUGGGCUUAAAGCGUCCGUAGCCGGGUUGGUUAGUCUCCCGGGAAAUCUGGCCGCUUAACGGUCAGAAUUCCGGGAGAUACUGCCAGCCUAGGGACCGGGAGAGGCCGAGGGUAUUCCCGGAGUAGGGGUGAAAUCCUAUAAUCCCGGGAGGACCACCUGUGGCGAAGGCGCUCGGCUGGAACGGGUCCGACGGUGAGGGACGAAGGCCAGGGGAGCAAACCGGAUUGGAU